Molecule: transfer RNA, 85 nt
Filed under: Felis catus (domestic cat)
Lineage: Eukaryota; Metazoa; Chordata; Mammalia; Carnivora; Felidae
Rfam family: tRNA
About the family: Transfer RNA (tRNA) molecules are approximately 80 nucleotides in length. Their secondary structure includes four short double-helical elements and three loops (D, anti-codon, and T loops).
Source: Rfam by way of RNAcentral
ACCUGAGUGGCUCAGUUGGUUGAGCGUCUGACUUCGGCUCAGGUCACGAUCUCACAGUUUGUGAGUUCGAGCCCCACAUUGGGCU